CUCCAGCGCUGGGCAAAGCUCCCAGGUGCUGAUCUUCCAGGCCUCAUUUGACUUUACUAGGGCAGUGCGCUGUCCAAUCACAGACUUCAAAAGACCUAAAUAUGCUCAGAAUUGACAUUAAGCAGCCCGGCACCGAAUUCAGGGCUGCCAAUGUCAUGUGUGCUGGGGGUGUAAUGUUCCCACAGCACACAAGUGCAAAUAUCUCUGUAUGUGCAGUAUUUCAGUCUGAAACCUUGUACAUACCAACUCCUACCACUAUGACCACUUCAAAUC
Non-coding RNA from Pelobates cultripes (western spadefoot toad), 273 nucleotides. The record is from the annotation of a GenBank genome assembly. Lineage: Eukaryota; Metazoa; Chordata; Amphibia; Anura; Pelobatidae.